RNAcentral lists this unclassified non-coding RNA (347 nucleotides) under soil metagenome. Its description in RNAcentral is "partial contains 5.8S ribosomal RNA, internal transcribed spacer 2, and large subunit ribosomal RNA". The stretch from base 1 to 120 matches the Rfam family "5.8S ribosomal RNA", at positions 35 to 154 of the family's 154-position model. The record is from RNAcentral.
GAUGAAGAACGUAGCGAAAUGCGAUAAGUAAUGUGAAUUGCAGAAUUCAGUGAAUCAUCGAAUCUUUGAACGCACAUUGCGCCCGCCAGUAUUCUGGCGGGCAUGCCUGUCUGAGCGUCAUUUCAACCCUCAUGCCCCUAGGGCGUGGUGUUGGGGAUCGGCCAAAGCCCGCGAGGGACGGCCGGCCCCUAAAUCUAGUGGCGGACCCGUCGUGGCCUCCUCUGCGAAGUAGUGAUAUUCCGCAUCGGAGAGCGACGAGCCCCUGCCGUUAAACCCCCAACUUUCCAAGGUUGACCUCAGAUCAGGUAGGAAUACCCGCUGAACUUACGCAUAUCAAUAAGCGGAGA